AAGUGCUGGGAUUAAAGGUGUGCGCCACCACUGCCUGGCUGAGACAUGGAUUUGAUUUUGUUCUUCUACAGUGGGCAUUCUAGUUUUGCUGACACCAUCUUAAUAAUACUUAGUAAGAUUGUCUCUUAUUCUAGAGUUUUUGAAACAUUCGUCACAAAUUUGGUGUGUACACUGGGUUUAUUUCAGUGUCUUUCAUUGUAGCCCAUUGGUCUUUCUUUUUAUACCAAUACCAUGCUGACUGUCACUAUGGCUAUGUCUGUAGUUUGAGGUCAGGUAUUGUGUUAUCAUCUCUGGCCAUCUUUUGUACUUCAGCUUUCUUUGUCAUGUUCUCAUAUACAUUUUAGAAGGUUUUGGGUUUCUGUUGUUGUUAUUCUGUGAAGAACAUUACUGGAGGUUUGGCAUCAAACCUAAAAUUUUUAGUCCAUAAAAUGGGCUAAUGAACUAAACUAACAGAUUUUUAAAGCAAAAAUAUGAAUGGCAGAUCACACAUUUUUAAUAUUUUUCCACAUUCUUAGGCAUCACUAGAAUGCAAAUUAAAACUACUGUGAGAUUCUGUCUCAUCCUAGGUAGAAUGGCUGCCAUUAGGAAACUGAGUACAACAAGGACUGGUGUUUGUGUAAGGAAAGAAAUCUUUAUUCACUGUUGAUGAAUCUAAAUUAGCAGAGUCUCUAUGGAAAUCAAUGUGGAGGCCUUUCACAAAACUAAAAAUGGAACUGCCUAUGACCUAGGUAUACUAUUCUUGGUCAAAAUAUUCAAAGGACUGUAUAUCCUCCCAUGAGAUACUUGUACAACCAUGUUUCUUGGUUUUGAGUCAGUAAAGGAGCAGGAUCUUAAGGUUUGAAAGUGUGCAAAGGACAUAGUGAUGCGUGACAAAUGAUGUUGAGAGCAGAGAAAGAGGAAAGCUGCCCUUCAGCUGCUUUUCUCCUUCUGCUGCUUUGAUUCAGUCUGGGACUCUAGCCUAGGAAAUGUUUACUAUAGAAAAGAUGUGGCACAUAGACACAAUGAAAUUUUAUUCAGCAAUAAAGGAAGAUGAAAUUAAGGAGUUUGCAGGAAAACAGAUGGAACUGGAAGAUAUUGUGUGGAAUGUGGUGAUCUAGAUACAGAUAAAGAGCAUUAGUUCCUUUCAUGUGUGGAUCCUCGAUUUUACUUUUGACAUAUGUGUAUUCACAUGGGAGUGACUGUGAGCUGAGACUGGGAAACUAGAAAUAGACCUAUUAAAGUAGAAAAAUGAGGCUCUAAGGGAGGAGUGUGGGGAGGAGUGUGAGGAGUAUAAUACCCAUAACAUAAUGAGUGGAAGAGGGAUACUUGGGAGAGAAGAGUACAAAUGACAAUGGGCAGUAGGGACGUGGGUGAGAAGAGGAUAUGGGGGACAGGAUUAACCACAACUAUGUAUGAAGAUGAAAAAGGACAACUUGCAGGAGCCAGUUCUCUCUGUCUACCACAUGGGGCCUGGAGAUCAAUGUCAGGUUGCCAGCCUUGGUGUCAACUGUCUUACCAUUGAGCCAUCUGAGUAGUCCUAUAGAAUAGUCUGAGACUAUUUUAGAAAACAUAUUUCUGCAUUGUAGAUGAGAUAUCCAACUUCUUGCAGUGGCUGAACCAGCCUUUGUAACCAAGGCCCCCACUUGCCUCUUGUACUUUGUACUGUCUUUUUAAAUUUUUUACUGUGUUCUUGGUAAUUUGUAACUAUUCCCCCCUCCCAUCCCUCCAAACACUCAGUUUUAUUUCUGUUUUAGCACCUUUGUUUCAGUCUCCUUUCUGCCUAGUCAUUAUGGGGCUGGAUCCUUUAUUAGUUAGGGCCCAGGUGGCAGGAGCCUUGCCAGACUCCCUGUCAACCCUACUUAAAGUUCUCAACCUGUCAACACUGUGCAUUCUGUGACCGCCAUGUCUCUUUUGCUAUCUGACUCCUGUUGGAAUGUAAGCUACACAUUGGGUGUGGGCUCAGACUGGACUUUUAGAAAGAACUUGAGCUCAAUAUUCCUUUGGAGCAAGCUGGAUGGUUUUGAGCACACGCCUCACUGAGGAUGCCUGCACAUGGACUCCCUGCCUGGUCCAGCUCUCCUGUCAGGUGCACUUCUGCUCCACAGAUGGCACACAUUCAUCGUGAUGGUGAAGUGGCAUCAAAAGCGAAGGCACCCUAGAAACCUAUCUUUGCAGCCCACCAAAGCAGCGUCUCUGUACCACAGAGAUGAAAGCUGUAGAUAACAGGGGCAUUCCCAGCACUCACUCCCUUGUGGGCAGCUGACGGUUAACACAGGUGGGUGUAGGGCACUACCCAUCCUUUGAAGGUUGGCUGUUGGAGGGGAUGCUGCCUCUCUGGGAUUAGUCCUGCGCCAUGGGCCUCAGAGUUGCUUCUGAGAAGUGACCAGGUGGUGAAGACCUGCCUUGCUUUUCAGAAAUUCACACAUGGCUGUCAAACUCCCACUAUGGUUCAAAGGCAGCCAGGCAAGGUGUCUGGCCUUUGUGAUAUGUGGCCAUUUGAGGGGCCACCUUGAUUCUUGUUCUGCUUAGAGGCCAAAUUAGAUUGUGGAGCAGCUGGCUUGUCUACCUCCUCCCCAGAUCUGGAAGGGAGGGGGGCUGGAGAGAGCAGAGCUAAAGUGCAGAGGAAAGAAGCAAGUAUUAUAAUGAGUCUGCCAUUCACCAAGCAAACAUCAUUUUGUUUAAAUUACACUGUGCUAUUUUAUCUUGACCUGCAACCAAAUGGAACUCAUUGUAAUACAUUAUCCAAUACGAGAUAGUUGGCUCAUUAAUAAAGCCCUAGGAAGGAGAUGGGGUAAACAAUAAAAACUUGCACAUUAGCACCAUUAUGCACCAUAAUAUUUUUCCUUCUUUUCAUCAAAAUUCUUCACAUAAUUAGAUCUCAAGUAAGUCAGCAAAGAAAUCCUCAGCAUUUUUUAUUUGGACUCUUUUCUUUUGAGAAAAUUAGUUUUUUUUUUUUUUCAUAUUAUUAGGAAGCAACCAAGUAAAGACUCCUGGAUUACUGGAAGUUUUCCUUAUGGAGUGUAAAUAUUUGUUGGAUGCUAAUGGCAUGGCAGGUUUUGUCACUCAGGCAGUGAGCCAAGCAAUGACAGAAAUCUCAGUGAAGGGAAAAAAACUUUUUGGGUAGAAGUGAAAAGCCCCAUUAAAGGUGUUACAGUUAUGCUGAGACCAACAGUGUUCCUGGCUAAGGCAAUAGAUUAGGUACCCUAAAGUGGGAGCAAACUUAAUGGGCAAGGGAAGAUCUGUGUAGCUAGGGGAAGGAUAGAAAUGUAGUUUGGAAUGAGAUUGGCCAUGGCAAGGUGUUGUAUUUACCAAGGCGUUGUGUUCAUUGUGGUAAAACACUUUCUGUUUGAAGAGAUCAACUCUACUUGAUGGGGUUGAGAUGGCAUCUGGGGAGGAAGCUGGGAGACACUUAGAGCCACUGCAGUCACCCUGGUGGGAGGUGACAGAGGAGUGGCUUGAGUGUUAUAGUGCAGGUCAAGAGAAAUGGACGAUCAGGGCUUGUUCUGAGGAAACAGCUGAGUUUGGCUAUGGGGAGAGAAAGUAGACAAGAGAAGUUGAGGCUGAGUUAGGCUUAGGUUUUAUCUAUAGUAGGCUUCUCUCUUAACCGCCAUGGUGAAACUUGAAAUAUUGAAAAAACAUUUAAGCCAGUUGUCUGAAUAGCAUCAGUGCCUGGUAUAGACACAGAAGCUGGCCAUUAAGUGCCUGGAAUUGAUAGAAUAAUGAUUUGCAUAACCAUCCACAAUGCGGUCCACAGUCCUGUGUGAUUGGCUCUGUGAACUAUUUAUAAUGAACAAUUCAUUACUGACAUCCACAAGAGAAGUUAAAAAAUGUUGAAUAAGCAUUUGGAAAUCUGUGUAACAGUUUAAAGUUGCUGUAAUAUGCAAAUAGCAUUUUAUUUUCUUGAUCAUUUUCUUUUUACUCAAUAAAAUGUCAAUCUGAGA
Mus musculus (house mouse) is the source of this 3920-nucleotide long non-coding RNA. RefSeq annotates it as predicted gene, 39887. The transcript has 2 exons. NCBI's taxonomy places the organism in Eukaryota, Metazoa, Chordata, Mammalia, Rodentia, Muridae. The record is from RefSeq and is a predicted model, not a curated record.